GACAGAGGAUGCAAGCGUUAUCCGGAAUGAUUGGGCGUAAAGCGUCUGUAGGUGGCUUUUUAAGUCUGCCGUCAAAUCCCAGGGCUUAACCCUGGACAGGCGGUGGAAACUACCAAGCUGGAGUACGGUAGGGGCAGAGGGAAUUUCCGGUGGAGCGGUGAAAUGCGUAGAGAUCGGAAAGAACACCAACGGCGAAGGCGGGUUGCUGGGCUGAUACUGACGCUGAGGCGCGAAAGCGUGGGGAGCGAACAGG
Molecule: ribosomal RNA, 253 nt
Filed under: uncultured bacterium
Lineage: Bacteria
Description: partial 16S ribosomal RNA
Rfam family: Bacterial small subunit ribosomal RNA
Source: RNAcentral